Molecule: long non-coding RNA, 210 nt
Filed under: Vigna radiata
Lineage: Eukaryota; Viridiplantae; Streptophyta; Magnoliopsida; Fabales; Fabaceae
Description: long non-coding RNA (VRAD_LNC007402)
Source: RNAcentral
GGUUUUGUCUUAGAUAACAGGUUUGAGCCUUGUGUGAUACACUAGAGCCAUGCACAUGGUUAACUUAGGUAGGCUAAAUGACCAACUUCAUCUAUUCGUGGUUCACGCAAUGUCUAAACCAAAGGUGAUAUAGUUGUUAGAAUAUGUUCCUGAUAAUACAUAUGAAGUAGAAGUUGAAGUUGUGUUACGUGAUAGUGGUGAAAGUGUGGG